CAGUGGGGAAUAUUGCACAAUGGGGCGCAAGCCUGAUGCAGCCAUGCCGCGUGUAUGAAGAAGGCCUUCGGGUGUAAAGUACUUUCAGCAGUGAGGAAGGUGGGUAUGUUAAUAGCAUACUCAUUUGACGUUAGCUGCAGAAGAAGCACCGGCUAACUCCGUGCCAGCAGCCGCGGUAAUACGGAGGGUGCGAGCGUUAAUCGGAAUUACUGGGCGUAAAGCGCAUGCAGGUGGUUUGUUAAGUCAGAUGUGAAAGCCCGGGGCUCAACCUCGGAAUUGCAUUUGAAACUGGCAAACUAGAGUACUGUAGAGGGGGUAGGAAUUUCAGGUGUAGCGGUGAAAUGCGUAGAGAUCUGAAGGAAUACCGGUGGCGAAGGCGGCCCCCUCGGACAGAUACUGACACUCAGAUGCGAAAGCGUGGGGAGCAAACAGGAUUAGAUACCCUGGUAG
RNAcentral lists this ribosomal RNA (450 nucleotides) under uncultured bacterium. RNAcentral describes it as "bacterial SSU rRNA". It matches the Rfam family "Bacterial small subunit ribosomal RNA", at positions 352 to 793 of the family's 1533-position model. The record is from RNAcentral.